This 253-nucleotide ribosomal RNA is filed under the name uncultured bacterium. RNAcentral describes it as "partial 16S ribosomal RNA". It matches the Rfam family "Bacterial small subunit ribosomal RNA", at positions 524 to 776 of the family's 1533-position model. The record is from RNAcentral.
UCCGGAGGGAGCUAGCGUUGUUCGGAAUUACUGGGCGUAAAGCGCGCGUAGGCGGCGAACCAAGUCAGGGGUGAAAUCCCGGGGCUCAACCCCGGAACUGCCUUUGAAACUAGUUUGCUAGAAUCUUGGAGAGGUCAGUGGAAUUCCGAGUGUAGAGGUGAAAGGCGUAGAUAUUCGGAAGAACACCAGCGGCGAAGGCGACUGACUGGACAAGUAUUGACGCUGAGGUGCGAAAGCGUGGGGAGCAAACAGG